Molecule: long non-coding RNA, 494 nt
Organism: Astatotilapia calliptera (eastern happy)
Lineage: Eukaryota; Metazoa; Chordata; Actinopteri; Cichliformes; Cichlidae
Source: Ensembl
CCUGCGAUCGCGCUCUGGGGUCUCAAGAAACCCCCCCACCCUGGAACCAGUGCAGGCCUCAUGUUAUAUUCAGGGAACACAGCAACCUCUUCUGGCCAAAAGUGAACGCAGCAGAGAGUCUGUGCUGAAGCCAGAAUAUAACAAGCUCUGUGUUCCCAUUUCUUUCUCUGUGUCAGGCACUGAGAGCUACAAGGAUACCAGAUGCCGUCCCAGCCUAUUUGUCUUAUCCGUUUUCACAGACAAACUAAUUGCUAUACAAAAGGUGCUGGCGUGUCCUGUCGAGGACCCUUGUAAAUGCUUUACAUCCACCACUCCAUUCUGCCUGCCAGUAAACUGGCUAAUUAUAAAAGGAUCACAAAAGAGUGUGAUUAGGGAUACAGAAGAGGGGGAGGAGGUGCGGUCCCACACCAGUGUAAAUGGAGCACCUGAAACUGUUAGCUUAACAUUAAUGAAAACUCAUUUUUGAAGCCGCCCAAAUAGAAACUUAAGAGGAG